This 253-nucleotide ribosomal RNA is filed under the name uncultured bacterium. RNAcentral's name for it is "partial 16S ribosomal RNA". It matches the Rfam family "Bacterial small subunit ribosomal RNA", at positions 524 to 776 of the family's 1533-position model. The record is from RNAcentral.
UACAGAGGGUGCAAGCGUUAAUCGGAAUUACUGGGCGUAAAGCGUGCGUAGACGGUUAUGUAAGUCGGAUGUGAAAGCCCCGGGCUCAACCUGGGAAUUGCAUUCGAGACUGCAUAGCUAGGAUGCGGAAGAGGGAAGUGGAAUUUCCGGUGUAGCGGUGAAAUGCGUAGAUAUCGGAAGGAACAUCAGUGGCGAAAGCGACUUCCUGGUCCAGCAUCGACGUUCAGGCACGAAAGCGUGGGGAGCGAACGGG